CCCAGUGUUUCUAACGGCAAGGGUACACCCGAUCCCAUCCCGAACUCGGCAGUUAAGCUUGCCAGCCCCGAUGGUAUCCGCCUUUGGCGGAGAGAGUAGGACAAUGCUGGGU
This 112-nucleotide ribosomal RNA is filed under the name Candidatus Moraniibacteriota bacterium. Lineage: Bacteria; Candidatus Moraniibacteriota. The record is from RNAcentral.